AUGUGCGGCUGUGCUGAGGGAUGGCCACCCAAGGGCUUGGUCAAGACUGGGGGUGGAUUUGUUCCCUCUAAACAUCUAUAUCCAAUUGGGCUUGCUCUCCAUGUGCCCCUUUCUCCUUCCUGUUUCUUCAUCAGGAAGCUUGAGAGAAUACAGCAGAUUCUCGCGGUCCUGUCCCCAAGUCACGAUGCCCAGCAGGAAGUACAUAUGUCCCUAAGCCAGCCCACGGAACAGACCUGCCUCAGAGCACAGCAGAAGGGGCAUCGGAGGACUGCUGGCAUGCCACAGCUAUCCACUGUACGCGGAGAGGAGAGAGGAAAGCCAGGCCUCAUGAAGGGUUUCCAGGUGCCUGCUUUAUCAAACGGUCAUUUCUUCACCCAGGGGGUGGUCCUAGCUUGUCCUGAAUGGGUGGUGGUAAUUAAAUUGAGAGGAGGGGAGCUGUUAGAGGGGGAGGAAUUAAGGGACCUGGCCCCCUGGCCAGCCUGUGGCCAUAGUGUCCCAGGAAGCAGAAGCUGGGUCCUAUCCUCUGUCUACUUCAAGGAGCCCCUUCAAUGGCAUUAGCUAACUUCCAGGGUCCCUCAGUCACGGGUGGAGUUGACACGUAUGGAUCUGCUCUCUGUCCCCCCACUGAGUUGGUGCAGGGGUCCCUGAGAUGAGUUAGAUGUGUCCUCCCCUUGGGGAGCUCAGUCCUGAAGGAGACACAGGUUGAUGGGAGCUCCUGGGCCAUGGGACCCAAAAGGGGAGACAUGGCCAAAAUGUGGGUGGUCAGGAAGGGCUUCUUAGAGGAGGAGAUGCCCCUACCAUGGGUCACUAGAAAGCCGGUAAGGGCUGAAUUCCUGAAGGUUUGGUAGGGCAGCCUGGCUCCUGGAUGGACACAGAAGCCCAAAGAAGCGCUUUAAACUGAGGUCUUCCCCCGUGGCUGGCGCACCAGGGCAGGCAGGGCUCACAGUUGGUUAAGAACACUCCUUCUCAAGGAGACCCAAGGACACUCAGGGAUUAGGCCUCCCAGCAUCUGUGCAAAGAACUGUCAGCUCAGAGCUGCUGGAAAGUAGAAAUGCCAGCAAUCGCUGAUGUCAUCACCCUAGUCAUUCCCUCUCCCCUUGGGAGGUCCUGUGGACCUGUGGCUAGAGCAGAAAAUCUCCUGCCAGGCUGCAACACCACCAUCCCCCCAUUUUGCUCCCCACAUUUCUGUUCUGAAUGGGAUGGGGGAGGUGAUCACAAGUGGGCUGAGAAUGAAGAAAAACUUCACGUUAUUCCUCAGAGAGAUGGCAGGGCUAGGGGGACUUUUCUCUUCCCUCCUGUCAGAAUCUGCUGAGGAUCCACUUCAGCUUUAAACCCACACUCCAACCUUCCCUGGCCAACCCCUUCCCCCCCAUGACCCAUCCACACUGCUAAAUUAAUCUGGCAUGCUGGCCCCCGCAGUAUCUGAGCAAGCCCUGGGCCAUCUUGGCAGCCCCCAGGCCAGAAAGAGAGGAUCUGGCAGCUCGGUCUGUGUGGAUGGGGGUUGGGGUGUCAGGCUGUCUCAGGGUGUUGGUGAGGAGUAGAGCUGUAUCUCUGGCAGAGCUGGUGGGAUUUGUCGGUAAACCCAGAGACCGCACACAUUGAAAGGACACACAGCUGGAUCGCCGGCGGGCCUGGGGGGUGGGGGGUGGGGAGCGGACUCAAAGGGAGAGGGGGCUGUGCAGUUGCUUGGGGGUAGGGAGCCUGGGAGGAGCAGGAACUACCCUAGCGUUGUGGUGUCACAAUUUGAAGGAGAACCCAGGGAGAAGGAGGUCCACAGCUAGCCCCAGAGCGCGAAGUCACCCGGGGAGCCCGCCUGCUAGCUCCCCGCUGCAGCCGGCUGGUCUCCGAAACACGCAUCAGAACCACCCCAGGAGAGGUGCAUGCGGGGUCCGAUCCCGCAUCAGUGGCUGCUGCGGGCGCAUUUCCUCGAAGUCUUACCUCGAAGGGCUUGGGUCUCCCCCGCGAGCCCUGUGCCUCCCGGAGUUUCCCCCACGCCCUUCUGGCCGGGCCGCCGCGAGGCUCCGCAGGGGAAAGACCAGCGGGGGAUUCGCCCCCCGCCUGUAUCACAGGAAAACCCCGGGAGCAGCCCCGACGCAGUGCAUUUCCCGGAAACCCCCUCUCCUGGCGCGCUGCGGGAAGGCCCGGGGCUCCUCGUGCGGACUACCCGCCCGCCUCGCCAAAGGAGGGUCGGAGACCCAGGUGAAAAGCAUAACCGCCAGGAAGAGGCGAGCCCAGAGCGCGGAGAAGGAGAGGUCGGGAAACCCC
Molecule: long non-coding RNA, 2265 nt
Filed under: Sus scrofa (pig)
Lineage: Eukaryota; Metazoa; Chordata; Mammalia; Artiodactyla; Suidae
Description: lncRNA (ENSSSCG00045007012.1)
Source: RNAcentral